CUUGCGCCAACCCUAGAGAUAGGGCGUGUCCUUCGGGAACGCAAUGACAGGUGGUGCAUGGUCGUCGUCAGCUCGUGUCGUGAGAUGUUGGGUUAAGUCCCGCAACGAGCGCAACCCUUGUUACUAGUUGCCAGCAUUAAGUUGGGCACUCUAGUGAGACUGCCGGUGACAAACCGGAGGAAGGUGGGGACGACGUCAGAUCAUCAUGCCCCUUAUGACCUGGGCUACACACGUGCUACAAUGGACGGUACAACGAGUCGCGAACUCGCGAGGGCAAGCAAAUCUCUUAAAACCGUUCUCAGUUCGGACUGCAGGCUGCAACUCGCCUGCACGAAGUCGGAAUCGCUAGUAAUCGCGGAUCAGCAUGCCGCGGUGAAUACGUUCCCGGGUCUUGUACACAC
RNAcentral lists this ribosomal RNA (401 nucleotides) under Limosilactobacillus fermentum. RNAcentral's name for it is "bacterial SSU rRNA". It matches the Rfam family "Bacterial small subunit ribosomal RNA", at positions 988 to 1390 of the family's 1533-position model. The record is from RNAcentral. Lineage: Bacteria; Bacillati; Bacillota; Bacilli; Lactobacillales; Lactobacillaceae.